RNAcentral lists this long non-coding RNA (390 nucleotides) under Homo sapiens (human). Its description in RNAcentral is "non-protein coding lnc-CREB3L4-1:3". The record is from RNAcentral. Lineage: Eukaryota; Metazoa; Chordata; Mammalia; Primates; Hominidae.
CCUUCAAGGGCUUUGAGGAGAUAUGAAAAACAUGGUAGUAUAUACCAGCCCAAGGAAGAUAAAAGUAAGACCCGAGAAAAUACUUUUCAACAAGACCAAAAUUUAGGCCAUGGAGGGGGACUUUCAAUCUGGAAUGAUCGAGCUUUAAGGAAGACAAGUACAUGAGCUCCUCUAGGACACUGAAAAAGCAUCCUAACAUGCUCAAGACAGGAUAGGAAAUGGUCCUCUGGCUUGAAAGACUCAGCAUCCAGAAGUAGUACCUCACUCUCCAUCCAGUGGUCACCCCCCAGAAAUGUGCUCUCGUAAGUUAUUUCCUCCAUUGAUACGCCUGCUCUCCUUCCCCAAGGCAUUUGUUUUAUUGGCUAAUUCCCUUUGGUAAUUGGUUUGCCG